GAAUAAAGCAGCAAUGCGUAAACAAGCGCUGGAUCCUCCUCCGCUCCUUUCCUAUCAUCUAUUCUGAAACCAGUUCCGUAUUCAGUGCUAGCCUACAUUAAUGUAACAUCGGCGCCCACAUCAUACAGCGUAUAUAGAUAGAAUUGUCGGAUAAGAUCACACCAUCUCGACCAUGGAGCCUUGAACUGGAAUACACCCACAGCACCACAGAGAUGAAAAUGCAGCACACUUGAUAUCUCCCUGGAGGGGAAGCCUGAUUUAAGAUGAAGCGACUGAAGGGGAAAACCCAGAAGUGUGGAGCAUUUCAGAAAAUCCUGUGAACUCUGACCUCCAGCCCCCAUCUGCCAUCAUUCCUUUCCCCCAAAUACACAGCACUCCCAUCCAUCAACACUCCUGCUCUGGUCCAAGAUGACCUCGCCGAGAAAGCACCUGGUCAAGGAUUUCAACCACUUUAUCACAUGCUACGUAUGUAAAGGAUACCUGAUCAAGCCCACUACGGUGACUGAGUGCCUGCACACCUUUUGUAAAAGCUGCAUCGUCCAACACUUUGAAGACAGCAACGACUGCCCCAAAUGUGGCAUUCAAGUCCACGAAACCAACCCUCUAGAGAUGUUAAGGUUGGACAACACUUUAGAGGAAAUCAUUUUCAAACUCGUGCCUGGGCUGAGAGAAAAGGAACAACAGCAGGAGAUUGAGUUCUGGAGGAGUCGAAAGUCGAAGGAGAACGGAGAAGAAGAUGGCCCCCGAUCAAAGAGGUCUAGGCUAGAUGCCGAGAAUGAUGACGGUGGAGAUGGAGACUACCACAGGAGUGACCCUCAGAUAGCCAUCUGUCUGGAUUGUCUACGCAACAACAGUCUGGUGGAAGAGAACAUUGUGAGGGGCUUAAUGAAGAAAUUUAUACGCUGCUCGACUCGAGUGACAGUCGGAACAAUCAAGAAGUUUCUCAGCUUGAAGUUAAAGCUUCCAAGUUCUUAUGAGCUAGACGUCCUAUGCAACGGGGAGAUCAUGGGAAAAGACCACACCAUGGAGUUCAUCUACAUGACGCGGUGGAGACUUCGCGGUGAAACCAAUAUGUGACAGCUCUGUGAUGCCAAGAAUGAAUUCCUGUCCUCCCCUGGACCAAAUGACCAGGAACUGGGACUACCCAAUGGUACUAGAAUAUCGCCCACGGAUAGACUUUGGUUGAUGGAGGGAGACGUGGGACUACUCCUGCACUAACAGCCCAUUGACAGACUACACAAUGAAUGGAUGUGCCUGGCACAAGAGACAAGGACCACACAUCUUCUUAUCAUCUGCAUGCAGUAAUCCGUGAUUGCCUCUAAUCUCAUUCUGUUCUCUUACGUUAUCCUUCAGUUUCACUGUCUGCGUUUCAUUUGUCAAAAACGCAUCAAGGGUUUGAGAGCAUGCCUGUGUAUCAUGACAUAUUGAUUCUUUUUUUUUAAAGUACCGAAAUGUAAUUGACUGAAGAGUGAAGACAUGCCCUUUAAUUCUACAGCACAUUGAAGUGUCCCUAAUAAUACAAGGUGAAAUGACUAGUAGUCUGUUGUUACGCAACACAACAGAGAUAUUACAAGACAGGUGUGCGCACUGGCAAACGGCUCAUAAUAUUCCACCUUAUCUAUGCUGGAUUUCGUGUCUUACAUGGCUCCCUCCCUUAUUCCUGUUUUUAACUACGGUAGUGCCUUUCCCCACAUGCCUCUUUCAGUGCAGUGCCCUUUGAAAUUCAAACUGCUUUUCAUAUGAAAUCCCGAAUAGUGAAUUCAACAGCCCCAA
This is an RNA transcript of Oncorhynchus tshawytscha (Chinook salmon), 1773 nucleotides long. It is a transcript of the gene named polycomb group ring finger 5b, with no coding region annotated. The record is from RefSeq and is a predicted model, not a curated record. Lineage: Eukaryota; Metazoa; Chordata; Actinopteri; Salmoniformes; Salmonidae. The transcript is spliced from 10 exons.